UUAAUAUAUGUAUGCUAUGUAAUAUCAGGUUGGUCAUAUUAACCAGGAUAUACAGUACUACAUUUUCGUCGGUUAACUUGUCCACUCCUUCAGGUAGGUAGUAUUAAGGGCUGCUGGGGCCCCACCAUGUCCUCCUCAACCAGCAGGAGGUGAGGGAGUCCCCGCCUGGUGCAGGGGAGCCUGGAGACUGUAUGGCCACUCACAACCCUCGAACAACUAGGAGAGAGACACAGGAAAUGCUUGUGUCCGCCCGACUCUCCCUGCAUCCAUCCGUCCGUCUGUCCGUCCGUGCAACCAGGAUUAAGUGAACACAACUAACAACUAAGAGUGAUGGUCUGACAAGGGGUGAUAAAGUGAUACAUCAUAACAAGGAACUAUGACAAGGUCCUGUCUGGAGGGUCUUUGUCAACGUAGGACUAAGGAAAAGCUUCACCUGAACCACUCUUGAAGGAUUAGAAACCAGAGACAGCAGCCACAAAGAUUCGUCACUGCCCGCACCCUGCUGGGGGGACGCCUACAAUACUCUUCCUGCUACUGCUGGGGACGUUCUUGUUGUUGGUUAUACUGCUGCUACAGGCUAGAGACACUACUGUUGUUUUUGUUACUAGUGAAGUCGCUGUUGCUGUGAGAGGCUGGAUAUGUUUCCCUCUGGCAAGACAAGUAAGGACCUGCACAGACACACAGACUAUGACUUAACGAUAUAUCUGCCUUCUCCUAAAGCCAGGCACCAAUACGAAGGAUGAUGACUUGAAGAUGGAGGAUGCAAGAAAUGAUAGUUUUCUUCUGGUGAACUCUUCCUGCACUGCACCAAAAAACGUCAGGUUCUGGACCUUGUCAAGGAGAGGUGUGCACUCUGCUGUACCACACAUCUUGUACUGCUGUACCAGGAUGGCAAGUGAUUCACAACACAACUAAAGGACGCAGGUGCCAAGAUACAGCCCAGACCCAACCUUCCACCCCUCCUCUCUACCUCAGAUCGAGGGUGGGCUUAAUUGAAACCCACCGGUCGCUCGGAGCC
RNAcentral lists this long non-coding RNA (1018 nucleotides) under Homarus americanus (American lobster). RNAcentral's name for it is "uncharacterized LOC121864674, transcript variant X3". The record is from RNAcentral. Lineage: Eukaryota; Metazoa; Arthropoda; Malacostraca; Decapoda; Nephropidae.